CUCGCAAAACUAAAAUCCGUGUUUGUCACCAGUCCAUGGUUUUUAUUUAUUUUUUUAUGUCACUUCGCCGGCACCGUUAGGAACUGCUAUCAUAAGUAGGGACAAUAUGCAACUUUUCUGCAUGUCAAGCAAAGAACAUUUACUUUUAAAAUAGAGUUUCCAAAGAAUACAAUUUUUUUUUUUUUUCAUUAAAUCAAUUCAACUUUUUUCAAGACGGGCCGAUAUGCUAAUCUGAGAUGUUUCUGCCACUAACUAGAGUUACAAAUUCUACCCUAGCCAUUACAAUUCCUUCUCACUGUUAUCUUCAGAUACAAGUGUAGGUCCUUCUCCGAAGGACAUUGGUAAGACAUGCUUUCUUGUUGUGACGGAUAUCAAUUGUUAGAACAGGCCGAUAUGCUAAUCUGAGAUGUUUCUGCCACUAACUAGAGUUACAAAUUCUACCCUAGCCAUUACAAUUCCUUCUCACUUUUAUCUUCAGAUACAAGUGGAGGUCCUACUCCGAAGGACAUUGGUAAGACAUUCUUUCUUGUUGUGACGGAUAUCAAUUGUUAGAACAGGUAUAUCGUGGCAAGAGAGCAUAUAUUCAUUGAAUAUGCAUAUAUUUUUAUUUAUUUAUUGUUCUUUUACUAUAUAUAUAUAUAUAUAUAUAUAUAUAUAUAUAUAUAUAUAUAUAUAUAUAUAUAUAUAUACACGAUGCCUUUGCUGCAGGUUUUGGGGACUCUGCUGCUCCAGACUGUGGACGGUGCUGGAUGCUGCUGGUCACACUGUGCCCGUCCUCUGCUCUCCUCUCUUUGGUCCUCUACCUCCUCUAGAACUUCACGUGCCUUUAUUCACUGGAAGUCUUUCUGCACUUCAUUUGAUUGCGUUGUCUCCUUUAUUCUAACUCGGUCUCUGUUUCAGUUUGUGCCAGAAAACCCCCUGGCGUCUCUCAGGAAAACAGACCUUUAUUACCGCAACAUGAGGAUGAAAACUAUAGCCGUGUAUUUUAUGCUGUGAUGAAAACUCCACAAAAAUAAGGAUCUCACAGCUUCUUCGUUUGCAGUACGUGUGGGCUUUGAGAGGCGGAUUGGUUAGAGUUCCUUCCUCCACAACACACGCAGCCCAACGCACACACAUAGACUCACUCACAACAACAAACAAACACACAGUCGUACACACAAACACACAUGAAUUGAAAUUCCCUUGUGUUUGAAGGUAUUUUGAUGCCUUGAAAUUAGUACAACUUGGAUUGAUUUACAAUAUGUUACACAGAAAACAUUGAAAUAUGCAUUUGUAUAUUGUUUUAUACCCAAAAGUAACCUGUCUAUUAUAUGUUUUCAUUAAAUGUAUAAACAAAUCAAUAAAAUCCAAAGAUGUUGCAUGGCAG
This 1366-nucleotide long non-coding RNA is filed under the name Gadus morhua (Atlantic cod). RNAcentral's name for it is "lncRNA (ENSGMOG00000023077.1)". Lineage: Eukaryota; Metazoa; Chordata; Actinopteri; Gadiformes; Gadidae. The record is from RNAcentral.